RNAcentral lists this ribosomal RNA (422 nucleotides) under uncultured bacterium. RNAcentral describes it as "bacterial SSU rRNA". It matches the Rfam family "Bacterial small subunit ribosomal RNA", at positions 355 to 774 of the family's 1533-position model. The record is from RNAcentral.
UAAGGAAUAUUGGACAAUGGUCGCAAGACUGAUCCAGCCAUGCCGCGUGCAGGAAGACGGCCCUAUGGGUUGUAAACUGCUUUUGUACCAGAGAAAACCUAUCUACGUGUAGAUAGCUGAUAGUAUGGUAAGAAUAAGCAUCGGCUAACUUCGUGCCAGCAGCCGCGGUAAGACGAAGGAUGCAAGCGUUAUCCGGAUUCAUUGGGUUUAAAGGGUGCGUAGGCGGGCUUGUAAGUCAGUGGUGAAAUCUCUCAGCUUAACUGAGAAACUGCCAUUGAUACUGCAGGCCUAGAGUAUAGAUGACGUAGGCGGAACAUGCCAUGUAGUGGUGAAAUACUUAGAUAUGUCAUAGAACACCGAUUGCGAAGGCAGCUAACGAAACUAUAACUGACGCUGAGGCACGAAAGUGCGGGGAUCAAACA